UCUCAUUUGGUUAGCUAGCAAAAAAAUUGAAUCGCUUUCUAGCUAGCUAUGCUGAACUUGAAAAACAGUUAUCCAGUUAGCGUUCGUAAAUUCACUCUGACUAACUACUCUGAUUGCUUUAGAUAACAUGUAACCAGCCUAACCAACUCUGCUAGGAAUGACGUGGAUGACAGAUGUGGGAGCAGCGUAACAGUUACACUUGCAGAGAUGAGAAGCAAUGUUAGGAAUCGAGGGCUCAUUUUGACCGAGAGGAGGGUGAAAAACAUUGUAUUCGCUGCAUCCAUGUUAACAGCGUCUCACAAAAACCGAAAAUAUAUGGGUGAGAGUCACAACCGAACAACACGUGAUCCUGGAAAUGGAACACUAAACUUAUAUUGAAAUGCCAUGACUGUAAUCUGUGUGAUUUACAGAGGCACACCCACACACAUUCCCCAGAGGGAUCCUCAAAUAAGCUUUUCUACACUAAUUUCAUCUCAACAUCUCUCCCAAUAUUAUUUUGAAUUUGUAUUUACAUGUGAUAUUCCUUUCUCCCCUUCUCACAACAUGUUCAACCUCUCUGACUGCUCAACCUGGCACACUGAGCAUGCUGGGAAUCAACACUGUUCCUCAAACAAUCU
Oncorhynchus keta (chum salmon) is the source of this 617-nucleotide long non-coding RNA. RefSeq lists it as uncharacterized. NCBI's taxonomy places the organism in Eukaryota, Metazoa, Chordata, Actinopteri, Salmoniformes, Salmonidae. The transcript is spliced from 3 exons. The record is from RefSeq and is a predicted model, not a curated record.